This is a non-coding RNA of Brachypodium distachyon (stiff brome), 82 nucleotides long. NCBI's taxonomy places the organism in Eukaryota, Viridiplantae, Streptophyta, Magnoliopsida, Poales, Poaceae. The record is from Rfam.
UGCUUAAUGAUUUAGCCAUGCAGAUUCAUGGCAAUAUACGCUAUUCUGAGUCACUAGGAUGCCAUUAAACAUUAUGAGAGCA